Molecule: long non-coding RNA, 334 nt
Organism: Clupea harengus (Atlantic herring)
Lineage: Eukaryota; Metazoa; Chordata; Actinopteri; Clupeiformes; Clupeidae
Source: Ensembl
GAGUAUAGAUCCUCAGGCCGGUCCAGUGUGUGUGCUGAAGGCAGUAUACUGUAGAUCCUCAGGCAGGUCCAGUGUGUGUGCUGAAGGGACUCACAGAUCCUCAGACCGGUCCAGUGUGUGUGCUGAAGCGAAUAUAGAUCCUCAGACCGGUCCAGUAUGUGUGCUGAAGGGACUCACAGAUCCUCAGACCGGUCCAGUGUGUGUGCUGAAGCGAAUAUAGAUCCUCAGACCGGUCCAGUGUGUGUGAUGAAGCGAAUAUAGAUCCUCAGACCGGUCCAGUGUGUGUGCUGAAGGGAGGCCAGAGCCUCCAUCCCCUUAAAGACCCUGUAGAGGU